Molecule: ribosomal RNA, 262 nt
Filed under: uncultured Staphylococcus sp.
Lineage: Bacteria; Bacillati; Bacillota; Bacilli; Caryophanales; Staphylococcaceae
Description: partial 16S ribosomal RNA
Rfam family: Bacterial small subunit ribosomal RNA
Source: RNAcentral
CGGACGGGUGAGUAACACGUGGAUAACCUACCUAUAAGACUGGGAUAACUUCGGGAAACCGGAGCUAAUACCGGAUAAUAUAUUGAACCGCAUGGUUCAAUAGUGAAAGACGGUUUUGCUGUCACUUAUAGAUGGAUCCGCGCCGCAUUAGCUAGUUGGUAAGGUAACGGCUUACCAAGGCAGCGAUGCGUAGCCGACCUGAGAGGGUGAUCGGCCACACUGAACUGAGACACGGUCCAGACUCCUACGGGAGGCAGCAGCC